RNAcentral lists this transfer RNA (41 nucleotides) under Leptodeira nigrofasciata (black-banded cat-eyed snake). Its description in RNAcentral is "partial tRNA-Ser". Lineage: Eukaryota; Metazoa; Chordata; Lepidosauria; Squamata; Dipsadidae. The record is from RNAcentral.
GAGGGCGUUAUAAGACCUGCUAACUCUUUAACUGGAAAUUA